GUGCCAGCAGCCGCGGUAAUACGUAGGGUGCGAGCGUUGUCCGGAAUUACUGGGCGUAAAGGGCUCGUAGGUGGUGUGUCGCGUCGUCUGUGAAAUUCCGGGGCUUAACUCCGGGCGUGCAGGCGAUACGGGCAUGCUUGAGUGCUGUAGGGGUAGCUGGAAUGCCUGGUGUAGCGGUGAAAUGCGCAGAUAUCAGGAGGAACACCGAUGGCGAAGGCAGGUCUCUGGGCAGUUACUGACGCUGAGGAGCGAAAGCAUGGGUAGCGAACAGGAUUAGAUACCCUGGUAGUCCAUGCCGUAAACGGUGGGCGCUAGGUGUAGGGGGCUUCCACGUCUUCUGUGCCGUAGCUAACGCAUUAAGCGCCCCGCCUAGGGAGUACGGCCGCAAGGCUAAAACUCAAAGGAAUUGACGGGGGCCCGCACAAGCGGCGGAGCAUGUGGAUUAAUUCGAUGCAACGCGAAGAACCUUACCUGGGCUUGACAUACACCAGAUCGCUGCAGAGAUGUAGUUUCCCUUGUGGUUGGUGUACAGGUGGUGCAUGGUUGUCGUCAGCUCGUGUCGUGAGAUGUUGGGUUAAGUCCCGCAACGAGCGCAACCCUUGUCUUAUGUUGCCAGCAUUUGGUUGGGGACUCAUGAGAGACUGCCGGGGUUAACUCGGAGGAAGGUGGGGAUGACGUCAAAUCAUCAUGCCCCUUAUGUCCAGGGCUUCACACAUGCUACAAUGGUCGGUACAACGCGCAGCGACACUGUGAGGUGGAGCGAAUCGCUGAAAGCCGGCCUUAGUUCGGAUUGGGGUCUGCAACUCGACCCCAUGAAGUCGGAGUCGCUAGUAAUCGCAGAUCAGCAAUGCUGCGGUGAAUACGUUCCCGGGCCUUGUACACACCGCCCGUCACGUCAUGAAAGUUGGUAACACCCGAAGCCGGUGGCCCAAACUUGUUAGGGAGCCGUCGAAGGUGGGAUCGGCGAUUGGGACGAAGUCGUAACAAGGUA
RNAcentral lists this ribosomal RNA (991 nucleotides) under uncultured Corynebacterium sp. Its description in RNAcentral is "bacterial SSU rRNA". It matches the Rfam family "Bacterial small subunit ribosomal RNA", at positions 505 to 1498 of the family's 1533-position model. The record is from RNAcentral. Lineage: Bacteria; Bacillati; Actinomycetota; Actinomycetes; Mycobacteriales; Corynebacteriaceae.